RNAcentral lists this ribosomal RNA (303 nucleotides) under uncultured bacterium. RNAcentral's name for it is "partial 16S ribosomal RNA". It matches the Rfam family "Bacterial small subunit ribosomal RNA", at positions 507 to 808 of the family's 1533-position model. The record is from RNAcentral.
AGCAGCCGCCACGGUAAUACGAAGGGUGCAAGCGUUACUCGGAAUUACUGGGCGUAAAGCGUCCGUAGGUGGUGGUUUAAGUCCGUUGUGAAAGCCCUGGGCUCAACCUGGGAAUUGCAGUGGAUACUGGGUCACUAGAGUGUGGUAGAGGAUAGUGGAAUUUCCGGUGUAGCAGUGAAUGCGUAGAGAUCGGAAGGAACAUCUGUGGCGAAGGCGACUAUCUGGGCCAACACUGACACUGAGGCACGAAAGCGUGGGGAGCAAACAGGAUUAGAUACCCCAGUAGUCCCUGUCUCUUAUACA